This 3940-nucleotide long non-coding RNA is filed under the name Ananas comosus (pineapple). Its description in RNAcentral is "long non-coding RNA (ACOM_LNC018240)". Lineage: Eukaryota; Viridiplantae; Streptophyta; Magnoliopsida; Poales; Bromeliaceae. The record is from RNAcentral.
GACUUCGCAAAUAAAAUUUAGAGUUUAAAAAAUAUUUUGAUUGUGAAGCCAUUUCUCAGGGUCAUCUAUCUUAGGCCUACUCUACCUCUGAUACGUCUCUUGAGUUUAGCCACUGUCCAAAAUAUUAUAACGGGAUUAAAAGUUUUAAUCCUAUUAUAUCUUAUAUGUAAAACUAUCUGAUAUAUCACAUUUUCUCCUGCUUUAAGUCCUAACAUUCUUGUCAGGUUUAGACUCAUAAGUAUCAUGCGAUGUGAGACUUGUCUCGCUAGUCUUAACCAAGCUCGCAUCUCCGUAAGACUCGUCCCGUUAGCCUUAACCGACCUUGUGGUAGAGCUGCGCUCUAUCCACAACAGUCAUUAAUAUGAGAGACUCGCUCUUCCCGCUUUAUAAUUAUGAUUCAAAUGAGACUCAACUCACAUUUUUAGUAUAAUUUUGACUCAGCUGAGACUCAUCUCAUAUUUUCAGUAUAAUUCUGACUCAGCCGAUACUCAAAUUACAUUUUCGACUGAUAACUAGCUCUGAUAUCAAUUAUAAUACCCCACUUCUCAAGGGCCACCUAUUUUAUGACUAUUCUAACUCUAGCACGCCUAACUCUCUUAAUUAUUUGGAUCUAAUCAUCGUCUAAAAUACUAUAAUCAGGUUAAAAAUUUUAGCUCUAUUAUAUCUUAUAUAUAGAAUAUAAGGUCUCACAUAAAUGAUUUUAAAAUAAAUUUAAAAAUUUUGAACAAUAGUAAAGGGUAAAUAAGGAAAAGGACAUAAAAUCAUGUCUGGGCUCCUUAUUACUUUGUGCAAGCGUGUUUUGUGGGCAAAAAUUGCAUGGACAUAGUGUCCAAAUUAGCAUCUUUGGGGACGCUCUUGUUGGGCACCACGUGGCUCGCAGACACCCAUCCCACCGUCCCUCUUCCUUCCUCUACUUCUUUCUCUCUAAAAAAAUCAUUUUUUUUAAAAAAAAAGGGACGGUGAGAUGGAUGCUUGCGAGCCACGUGGCGCCUAUUCGAAACAUCCCAAAAAAUGUUAAUGUGGACACUAUAUCCACACAAUUUUUGCCCGCUUCAAAGCAUGGGUCAAAAUAUUAAAUUGACUCAAAGAGAGAGAGAGAGAGAGAGAGAGAGAGAUACAUCACACAUUCACAUGCAGAAAAAUAUAAAAGAAAAACUUCAAAUAUCACUCCUGUAAUUUCGUAUUUACUUACUUAGUAUCUUGUAAUUUAAAGUGUAUCAAGUUAGUGUUAUAUGAUUUCAUUUUUCUCUUUUUAUUAUCCAUUUCACUAAUUUUUUUUCAUUAAACCAGUAACAAAAUUAAAACUAAAGGAUACUAAAAUGAAUAUCGAUAAAGCUAGGUGGAGUAUCCGAAGUUUUUUUUGCAUAUAAUUUAACAAACUAUUAACGGAGGAACUGACGAAAAGAAAAAAAUAAAAUUAGAUGACACUAACUUGAUACACUUUAAACCAUAUGAUACUAAAAUGAGAAAGUGCAAAACUACAGAGGUGAUAUUUAAAAUUUACCCGAAUAUAAAUAUAUUAUUUAAAAUGCAGUUGUUAGUAAAAAGCAAAAUUUGUGGUGGUACUAUUGCAGAUCAAAAGGCUGAACAUGGAAAAGUAUGCAGUAUUCAUAUGCUUCUCAGAUCAGUAAGAUAAAUUUUGGGAGAGUUGGAAGAGAAUAAGAUAAAUUUUGUGUUGUAGUACCUACAAGACGGAUUCGGCUUUCAGCGUGAUCAAAGGCAAAUAGAUCAAAUGUGAAAAUAUGCUUACAUGCUUUUCAAUGGAACUACAAAAAUCAUAUCAUAUCUUUAAAACUGAAUUAGCCUAGAUGUUAUGUAAACUGAACUAUCCUUAACUAACAGGAAAGAUACAUGAAUCAAGCUCAGAACCUCUUAAAACAGAAGGGAAUGAAGAAUGACUCAGAAUACUGUAUUAUCCACCAAAUUAAUAUAUAUAUAUAUAUAUAUAUAUAUAUAUAUAUAUAUAUAUAUAUAUAUAUAUAUAUAUACAUAAUUUAUUUUUAUUUAUUUAUACAAUAUAUAAAAUAUUUAAUAAUUUUUAUUUCAUAGAUCUUCAUCCAACGGUAUAGAUUUUUAAAACCCGCUGGGUUCAGGUUCGGGUUUCGAGUUUUUGGUCGGAUAUGGAUAUGGGUAUGAAUUUUUAAAAUCCGUCGGGUUCGGUUCCGGGUUUGAAUUUUAAUUUGAUUUUCGGGUUCGGGUACGGAUUUUUGAAAAAGAGAAGAAAAGGAAUACAAAUUUCCUAUUCCUCUUUUCAAUAUACAAAAAAUACGUAUUAAACACGGUGAACCAUUCACCGUGUUUAGACACGGUGAAUGGUUCACCAUGUUUAACUUUACUACCGCCCCCAGCCCUACUCGCGUGGUGCUGACGUGGCGCCUGCGUCGCAGGUCUAUGGCCAUUUUUGCAAAUUAAAUUUUGACAGGGCUAUUUUUAAAAUAAAAAUUUGCUAAGGGGCUAAAUGCAAAAAAAGCCCGCUAUUCCUGCUGUCUCCUUUGGAAUCAUUGGUGUGCAAUAAAUUCCUACUGUAAUUACCAUUUUACCGUUUGGCUUAGGUUUUGAAAAAAAAAGUUCUGCAGUAGAGUUAAUUUUGAUUUAGAGAACUCAUUUUGAUUAAAAUCUAUCAAGCGUUUGAUUGAAUUUAAAUAAAAGUAAUUUUUCUGAAGUGAUUUCGUAAAACUGUUUGGUAAAAUAUUUUUAAUAUUUACAAAUAAUAAUUUUUUACUAAAUUUUAUUUUAAAAUAAUUUAAAUUUUGAAUUUAGAUUUAAAUUUUAGAUUUAAAAAUUUUAAAUUUGCCAAAAAUUUAAAAAAUUUUGAUAUUUUAAUUAAAAAUAUAAGUUUGAAAUUUAAAAUUUUUAAAUUUAAAAUUUGAAUUCUUAAAUUCAAAUUUUAAAACUUAAAUUUAAAUCAAAAUGUAAAAUAUAAGAUUUAAAACAUAAAAUUUGAGAAAUUAAAAUUUAAAAUUUAAAAAAUUUAAAACUUAAAAUUCAAAAUUUAAAAGUCGAAAUUAAAAUUUAAAAUUUGAAUCUAAAAUCCAAAUAAAAAUUUAAAAUUUUGAGUUCAAAAUCAGAAUCAGAUUUCAAGAAGCAAGUUUUAGCUGCUUCUGAUUUUGGGUUUCGAAAAUUAGAAAAUUGAUUGUAAAAAUCAAAAUCAAUUUUUAAAAAUAAGAUUACCAAACGCUCUAUUAACUCAAAAAUCACUUCUGAACCCAAAAUCACUUUUCAGAAGUUAGGCCAAAUACCCACUAUAGUUGAUUCCAAUAUAUGUACUUCUAAAUAAGAUUAAGUAUAUGUGGCAAUUGAUCUGUACAUAAAGUAGUGAUUUAUACAUUGGUUCUUAGCAUUAGUCUGAUAUUCAUCCUACGUGACAUAUUUACCUUCUCAUUAAUUUGUCAACGCAGAGGAUUGGAACUCAAAACCCUUGUAUUAUAAUAGAAGUAUUUAAAAUUAACUCAAGUACUAUAUUAUUUAUAAAAUUGAUCAAAUAAAAAACUGACAAAAAAAUAUAGUUAACACCCGAAACACACAAACCAAAUAGAUUAUCUAUCAAUUUUUUUACAGCACUAGUAAAAGAUAAUAUUUCUCCUUAAUAAUUUUCAAACAUCCCUUCAAAUAUUUUCAAACCUCUAGACUUCGCAAAUAAAAUUUAGAGUUUAAAAAAUAUUUUGAUUGUGAAGCCAUUUCUCAGGGUCAUCUAUCUUAGGCCUACUCUACCUCUGAUACGUCUCUUGAGUUUAGCCACUGUCCAAAAUAUUAUAACGGGAUUAAAAGUUUUAAUCCUAUUAUAUCUUAUAUGUAAAACUAUCUGAUAUAUCACAUUUUCUCCUGCUUUAAGUCCUAACAUUCUUGUCAGGUUUAGACUCAUAAGUAUCAUGCGAUGUGAGACUUGUCUCGCUAGUCUUAACCAAGCUCGCAUCUCCGUAAGACUCGUCCCGUUAGCCUU